CAGCGCGCAAGAGGAGCGACGGACCCGCCCUAGUCUUCCACAGCCUGAAGCGGGCUUCCCUGGUGGCACAGUGGUUGAGAGUCCGCUUGCCGAUGCAGGGGACACGGGUUCGUGCCCCGGUCCGGGAAGAUCCCACGUGCCGCGGAGUGGCUGGGCCCGUGAGCCAUGGCCGCUGAGCCUGCGCGUCCGGAGCCUAUGCUCCGCAACGGGAGAGGCCACAACAGUGAGAGGCCCGCAUACCGCAAAAAAAAAAAUUCCAGAUAUGUAGGAGACCAGAGGUUAGCAACUGGAAUUAUGCUACAGUAACUGAAUCAUCAGAGACUGAGACUUCUGAGACUCCAGAAGUCUCUUUGUUGCCUGGACAAUAAACUAGUUUGGGUCAGGAGCUACCUCCAAUCCCCAAAGAAGGUGCUGCAACUUCUUAUUGACCCCAAGACCUCCAAGGUGCUGGACAGCUGAGUUUCCCAGAAAACUCUCUCUAAAUAGCGGAUACCUGCAUCAUUACUUCCUGGAAACUAAGUCAUCUGUGUUUGCCCCACUGAGAUUAUUCUCAUGCUUGCUCAAUAAAAAAAGGAGAGGGGAUGAAGGGGGUGUCUCUUCACACCCACAGAGCCCACAGAGAUGUAGAUCUCUAUGCGGUGGAGGAAGAAUUGAGACGCUCAGGUUCUUGCUUGGUAUCCUUGGCUUGUGAGUGUCCCCCCAGUGAAAGCUGUUUCUUAUCACGUGAUACUGCAGAAUUCACCAUUAUCUACUUUACCACACUGUGGAAAAGCAAAAACAAACAAAAGAUCAUAAAAACAGCCGGAGAGAAGUCUAACAAGAAAUCACAAACAAACUGACAGCAGACUUCCUACUCAACAAUGAAUACCAGGAGAGGAAGAAUAUUUCCGAGAGCUUAGAGAAAAUAUCUAUCUCAAAUUGUGUGCCAAGAAAACCUUCUUUCACGAAUGAGAGAAAAAUAAAUUUCUCUUGAUAAGUAGACACUUAGAGAGUUUGUCACCAAUGGAUCUAUACUUAAAUUACACAUAAAAGCUGUACUUCAAAAAGAAGGAAAAUUAUAUCAGAAGGAAGGUCUGAAAAUGCAAGGAGCAAUGGUGAGGAAAGAAAGUGGUAAACAUAGCUGAAUCUAAAACACUGUCUGCAAAAAAAUAAUAAUAGUAAUAAUGUCUAAUUUAAGGGUAUUAGAAAAAGACAACUAAAACAUGGGACAAGAAUGACAUGCAAGGUGGCAGGGAGUUGACAGGAAUCUAAGUGUUCCAAAGACCUUUUUCAGAGGGGAGUAAAGUUAACAUAUUAACUUUAGACUUCAACAUAUGUUGUUCUUUAAAUAUAUUGCUUUCUAUAAAUCGCGUCUUAACUUCUUUCCAAAAGGAAAAAUAAAAUGUACAUCUGAAAACUUAGGAAGUGUAUAAAGUGAAAAUGUCUCCUUAAUUCUGUCAUUUAUGCUCUCCACAUGGAAUUUUUUGAUUACACAUGCACACACACAUGCACACACACAUGCACAC
This is a long non-coding RNA of Globicephala melas (long-finned pilot whale), 1505 nucleotides long. RefSeq lists it as uncharacterized. Lineage: Eukaryota; Metazoa; Chordata; Mammalia; Artiodactyla; Delphinidae. The record is from RefSeq and is a predicted model, not a curated record.